RNAcentral lists this ribosomal RNA (468 nucleotides) under uncultured bacterium. Its description in RNAcentral is "partial 16S ribosomal RNA". It matches the Rfam family "Bacterial small subunit ribosomal RNA", at positions 28 to 507 of the family's 1533-position model. The record is from RNAcentral.
GACGAACGCUGGCGGUGUGCUUAACACAUGCAAGUCGAACGGAAAGGCCCUGCUUUUGUGGGGUGCUCGAGUGGCGAACGGGUGAGUAACACGUGAGUAACCUGCCCUUGACUUUGGGAUAACUUCAGGAAACUGGGGCUAAUACCGGAUAGGAGCUCCUGCUGCAUGGUGGGGGUUGGAAAGUUUCGGCGGUUGGGGAUGGACUCGCGGCUUAUCAGCUUGUUGGUGGGGUAGUGGCUUACCAAGGCUUUGACGGGUAGCCGGCCUGAGGGGGUGACCGGCCACAUUGGGACUGAGAUACGGCCCAGACUCCUACGGGAGGCAGCAGUGGGGAAUAUUGCACAAUGGGCGGAAGCCUGAUGCAGCAACGCCGCGUGCGGGAUGACGGCCUUCGGGUUGUAAACCGCUUUCGCCUGUGACGAAGCGUGAGUGACGGUAAUGGGUAAAGAAGCACCGGCUAACUACGUG